AUGGCAUGGCACUGGCGAUCUCUCCCGCCGCCACCCUACCUGCCCCCGACCCGCUGGGACGACGACUCUUUCGAAGACGACGACGACGACGACUCUGACUUGGACGAUGACAGGCAAGCCAUGGUAGACGACGGGUCCAAGUCCAGUAUGGUGGUGGACGGCGAGCUGGGCGACAUAGCGGGGCACACGGUCGUGGGCGAUUCGAAGAUCUGGAUAUCCACGGCCGGCGCCGGCACCUACACCUUCGACGCGGGCAGCGGCGCGUGGGCGCCCCGGCCGUUGUACUGGCCGCUGCCGUUCCGCGGCCGCGCCGAGUUCGUCCCGGAGCACGGCCUCUGGUUCGGCUUCUCGUCACUGAACAACAAGCUGUGCGCGUCCGACCUCGCCGCCGCUUCCGAGACGAGGCCGCCCGUGCUGAGGGGUGAGUGGGAGGACGUCGCGCAGGGCGAGGGGUGGAACCCGGUGGCGUCCUACCUCGUGCCGCUGGGCUCGUGGAGGUUCUUGGUCGCCAAGUUCUUCGAGACGAGAGAGUGGCAGCAGUUCAAAGAUGGCGGCGGGGAUUAUGGAAAGUGCGACAACUUUGCGGUGUUUGCCGGCGUGGAGCUGCUGCCCAAGGCCGGCGGAGGGCUGAGCAUGAUCAAGCACCGCUCCAAACGUUACUCCCACGUCUGCACCGCGCCGGAUUGGGUGAUUUGA
RNAcentral lists this ribosomal RNA (696 nucleotides) under Triticum aestivum (bread wheat). RNAcentral's name for it is "partial small subunit ribosomal RNA". The record is from RNAcentral. Lineage: Eukaryota; Viridiplantae; Streptophyta; Magnoliopsida; Poales; Poaceae.